CCUACGGGAGGCAGCAGUGGGGAAUCUUGCGCAAUGGGCGAAAGCCUGACGCAGCCAUGCCGCGUGAAUGAUGAAGAUCUUAGGAUUGUAAAAUUCUUUCACCGGGGACGAUAAUGACGGUACCCGGAGAAGAAGCCCCGGCUAACUUCGUGCCAGCAGGCGCGGUAAU
RNAcentral lists this ribosomal RNA (169 nucleotides) under uncultured bacterium. Its description in RNAcentral is "partial 16S ribosomal RNA". It matches the Rfam family "Bacterial small subunit ribosomal RNA", at positions 338 to 524 of the family's 1533-position model. The record is from RNAcentral.